UACAGAGGUCCCAAGCGUUGUUCGGAUUCACUGGGCGUAAAGGGUGCGUAGGCGGUGAGGUAAGUCGGAUGUGAAAUCUCCGAGCUCAACUCGGAAAUGGCAUUGGAAACUACCUCGCUAGAGAGUUGGAGGGGGGACUGGAAUACUUGGUGUAGCAGUGAAAUGCGUAGAUAUCAAGUGGAACACCAGUGGCGAAGGCGAGUCCCUGGACAACUUCUGACGCUGAGGCACGAAAGCUAGGGGAGCAAACAGG
This 253-nucleotide ribosomal RNA is filed under the name uncultured bacterium. Its description in RNAcentral is "partial 16S ribosomal RNA". It matches the Rfam family "Bacterial small subunit ribosomal RNA", at positions 524 to 776 of the family's 1533-position model. The record is from RNAcentral.